AACGAACGCUGGCGGCAGGCUUAACACAUGCAAGUCGAGCGAGACCUUCGGGUCUAGCGGCGGACGGGUGAGUAACGCGUGGGAACGUGCCCUUCUCUACGGAAUAGCCCCGGGAAACUGGGAGUAAUACCGUAUACGCCCUUUGGGGGAAAGAUUUAUCGGAGAAGGAUCGGCCCGCGUUGGAUUAGGUAGUUGGUGGGGUAAUGGCCCACCAAGCCCACGAUCCAUAGCUGGUUUGAGAGGAUGAUCAGCCACACUGGGACUGAGACACGGCCCAGACUCCUACGGGAGGCAGCAGUGGGGAAUCUUAGACAAUGGGGGCAACCCUGAUCUAGCCAUGCCGCGUGAGUGAUGAAGGCCUUAGGGUUGUAAAGCUCUUUCAGCUGGGAAGAUAAUGACGGUACCAGCAGAAGAAGCCCCGGCUAACUCCGUG
RNAcentral lists this ribosomal RNA (433 nucleotides) under uncultured bacterium. RNAcentral's name for it is "partial 16S ribosomal RNA". It matches the Rfam family "Bacterial small subunit ribosomal RNA", at positions 29 to 507 of the family's 1533-position model. The record is from RNAcentral.